GGUGGAUUUUAAUGUUAACAAAUCCCUGUUACAUAUAUAGUGACCAAAUUCAAAGGCAAAAGUGACAUUUGAAAAUCAAUGGUUGACAUGUUAAAAGACUUCAUAGAUAAUUCUGUCAUAACUACACGUAAAUACAUUAGAACAUCUGUAGUUAUAGACUUCAAGUGAUUUCUCUUUGUAGCAUUAACUGUUGAAUAAACUCAGAACCUGAGGCAAUCCUAAUAUACACAAUGGAUUAGUCUACAAAAUGAGUAGUCUGGUGGUGUGUGGGUGAGAUAAAGUCAACAUCCUGAUGUUGAUAAUUGUGGCACCCUGAGUAUUUUAAGGAUCAAAAACAAGUCUCAGAAUUCUUGUUGAAGUUCUUUUAACGUGUUUGUGCCCCCCCCCCUUCACCUUUAUUUGCUUUUGUUAUGACAAUAGUUUAUAUCAUAGCACAGAGCAAAAAGCUCAUUUGCUCCCACUUGAUGUGGUGUUAAGGCGAUAUUUAGUUUCGCCAGUAGGUGGCAGUGGCGGCUCAGACAAAUGAGUGACUGGCAAAAUAAUCCCUUACAAAAGUAACGCAGGCCAGUUAUUGUAAUGGAGGCCGUCAGUAACACAGAACUGCUGUUUUGCUGUGUUUCAGCCUUCCUGAUGUCAUCACCAAAUCUGAAAUCUUCCCCUGGCCCAGCCUGCCCUGUUGCUCACUACGUAUGCUUCCCAUGUCGCUCCCUUUGUUCAACGAACAAAUUCUUCACCAUUCAGCUUUCCAGUCACAGAUGUCUUUUUAAGAAAGCAGCUGAAAUGAAGCCAAUAUAAAUACACCCCAGUCAAUAUGACACUCGAGGAUACAUCCAUCAGAGCUACCAUGCUGCGACAGGCAUCGAUUGUGAAUCCUCCAGAUUUCAAGUCUCCUAAAAAAGAACGAAGGAAAUCAUACUAGGACACUCUGCACCAUCUACAUGGGAUUAUUAUAUUUAGCUGUGUAGCUGUCACUUUUACUGUGCAAACCUUGUAGUAUUUUUCCAUUUAGGAGCCUCUGUAGCUGCUCUGCAUCCACUUCUUCAUACUGGAAAAUACAUGAAAAUAAUAAAAGCUUUAUGUGAU
Molecule: long non-coding RNA, 1083 nt
Organism: Oreochromis niloticus (Nile tilapia)
Lineage: Eukaryota; Metazoa; Chordata; Actinopteri; Cichliformes; Cichlidae
Exons: 4
Source: RefSeq, a predicted model, not a curated record